RNAcentral lists this ribosomal RNA (253 nucleotides) under uncultured bacterium. RNAcentral's name for it is "partial 16S ribosomal RNA". It matches the Rfam family "Bacterial small subunit ribosomal RNA", at positions 524 to 776 of the family's 1533-position model. The record is from RNAcentral.
UACGGAGGGUGCUAGCGUUAAUCGGAAUUACUGGGCGUAAAGAGUCUGUAGGUUGCUAUUUUAGUCUUUUGUGAAAUCCCUGGGCUUAACCCAGGAACUGCAUUUGAUACUAUCUAGCUCGAGUUAAACAGAGGAUUGUGGAAUUUCCGGUGUAGCGGUGAAAUGCGUAGAUAUCGGAAGGAACACCAAUGGCGAAGGCAACAGUCUGGGUUUAAACUGACACUGAGAGACGAAAGCUUGGGUAGCAAACAGA